CUUGAAUAUAGCUGAUUCUGUGAGAAGUAAACUAUAAAAGAGAUCUGCUUGUUUAUACACUGACACACUGACUUUCCAGCUCUGUCUGUACCAGACUAAGCACACCAAAUCUUGGAAGCUAAGUGGUCCAGGAGCUGGCUGAACAGAUGACACCCAGUUCUCGUUUGCUGCAGCUUUGGACUGGACUGUGCUGGUGAUCACGUGUGGAGGAUCAGUGUCUCUUUGUAUGAAUAACAAGAUUUGCAACCGUGGCUGAAUGUAGCCACUAUGUGGAUGGAGGACUGCCCAACAGCACAGCCAUGCUCCCUUCUGACACAGAGCACAUGAUGAAUAAAAGGACAUCUGAACCCAAGUGUAAGGACACAGUGGUCAGAGGGAAUGGGAAAAGGUAUGAUAUAGAUGGAGCUCAGUUUUAACACAUGGGCUUUGUGGUUGAUUUGGAACCUUAUUUUCUAAGAUUGCUCUUCCCUCCUGCACUGUUGAGAGAACCUACUUUUCAGAGCCUCUAUGUAGUAAUUCAUUUUGAAGUACAGAGAUGAAAAGUGCUAUGAGUUAUAUUAGAAGUAUAAUUUUGAGAACUGAAGUAAGUAGUUGGUGGUGGUAUAAUUCAGCAUCACAAGUUUACAAUUCUUUGUAUGCUUUUUUUUUGUUGAUUAGUUAAAAUCUGACUGACAUUUAUCUCUACUAAUAUGCAAAGACUUUCAAGGUUUGGAGAUUUUCUUCAUUUCUUUAUUUAAAAAAAAAAAAAGUAAUAUACUUUCUAAGUGUUUUGGUAGGCCUAGAGCUUUGUCUUUUAUAUGUAUGUACCUAAUUGCAAUUUUUGUGUUGGGAAAACCCUGUUAAUGUCCCCUGUGAAUUAGGCAAUUAAUCUUGUACAGCCUGAUAUUGUUUUUCAUGUAUGUUUGAAGGUAGGUAAAAAUGCAAUCUGGCCCCUUAGUCCAGAAUGUGGAGUUCAAAAAGCAAUAGGAUGGCUAGGGUGAGGGAAACUUCUGAAAGUACCUAUCCUCAGCAACCUGGGUGGAAAAAAAAACAAGGUGCUUGCUAAAGGUGUCUGGAAUACAUAUCCCUUGAAAAUCUGCAAUAGGAAUCAGCACUGUUUCUGUGAUCCUAGUGAUUGCUAUUAGACACUAGCAAUAAGAACAUCAGAAAUGAGUCCAAGCUGCACAUUCAGACCUAAACAAACUUGCCUACAGGGGUAAAUUAUAAGAAAAAGCGCUUUUCGUUCAAGGAUUUCAAUGAUGUACAAGCAUUAACUGCUCUUAUUUCCCCAAAGAGAAAGAAUUAGAAAACAGCUAUUAAGCACAUGGGUAAGCAGAAGACUUGAUAGCUUAAUGGUCAAAAUACAGCUCUCUGGAGACCAGCAUGCUAGAAUGAAGGAUGGAGAGAUGCAGUAGUCCUUUCUUGCUCUGCCUAAAGCUGCUGAGCUUAAACAGGGAGCACUGCCAUCAGUACUAAAUACUCCAAGGGAUGCCUCUCUGACUAUGCUAAGUAUCUGGGAUGCAGGGAACACAUAUAAGCACCUGUUGAAACAGUGAAGGAAACAUUGCUUUAAGUGCAUUCUGCCAUCCCACCCCCAUGCAAUGCUCUUGUGGAAUUUUACCUCGUGCAGAGAGAAUGUCUCUCUUGCCCUGCUGCAUCAACUGUUUCCUCCUCCCCACCCCCAACAGAGCUCCAUCAGCUCAAAGACCAAG
Pezoporus occidentalis (night parrot) is the source of this 1691-nucleotide long non-coding RNA. RefSeq lists it as uncharacterized. The transcript is spliced from 3 exons. The record is from RefSeq and is a predicted model, not a curated record. NCBI's taxonomy places the organism in Eukaryota, Metazoa, Chordata, Aves, Psittaciformes, Psittacidae.